AGCAGGAGGUGGAACAUCAACAUUUGUAACUUUGCAUAAGUUUAGAUUUGCAUCAGACAUUUUGAAAAUGAGGACGUCGCUUGCACUUGCUGUUACAGUUCUCGCUAUUGCGAUUUUAUUUUCAAAUGCAGAGAGUAAUUUUGUGGGAAACUCUGGAUCUAAAGGUAUUCCGUGUGAAGACGGUAACUUGCUCGGCAAACAUGAAACAUGUAUGGGUGGAAGCCGAUUUAUGAAAUGGAAAUGUGAAUGCCAGUGGCCGUUCGCAUGCGACUACUCUCCAUUGCACAAAAGUUAUGUGUGCAUGGGAGAAGAGGACUAUGACAGUGACUUUAAAGAUACACUCAAGAGAUUCAUAUUUUAAUAACAUCAUCGCGUGACGUGAGGAAGAAAGGUUUUUAUCAUCGUUGUGGAUUCAGAAGAACAGGUUGAAACAAUUUCGAUGGAAAAAACACGGUUAUUUCCGAUAGACGCUGCUACGAUUAUACACCUCAACAGCGCCCUCUAAACGCACCACCUGACAGUGUUGUUGUAGUACUUCUUUCUGUUGUCUGCGCUGAAGUUAUUGCCAUGCCCGCCAAAUGAUUAUCCAUUAUUUUGAUGUCAAAAUCAAUAACGCAUAUAUUUUGUUCAAGGGGUGCCUUGGUAUUUGAAGAAGCCGUUUUUUUAUCAUUAUGUAUUAGGUGUGUAUCGAGUCAAGAUGGAAGACAACUAGAGAGUAGGAUGAUGUAGUUACCGUGAACACCAGCGUCUAUCCGAAAUAAAACUAGAAUUAUAAAACAAAAAUUACUUAUUGUAUUGUAAUGUGCGUACUUUUACGUUUCACAUUGGGUUGCAUGUUUUUUUAUUUAAUUUUAACGGUAACGACGAUUAAAGACGAAUAAUAGUCAUUGCUGUACCAUACUGAAGUAAAAACCAAAUGAUUUCCCGUGGUAACACAGCUUAUCAAUAACCCGAUUUGAAGUAGCACACCAGUACAUGAAUCUGAAGAACAAUAUGUCCUGGAAAGAUCACGACUUCAUUCCGCAUUCCCUUAAAUUCCAUACAUAUUCUAAAUUCCAGUCAUAGUAAAAUACUAGAGGAUAGCCAUCUACAGUGAUACAUCAGUGCUAUUGUUUUGCAGUGAUGCAAAACAUGUGAUCCUAGUUUCGCUACUGACGUCAUUGCCUCUGAUGUCGAAUUGACUACGGGAUCAUAGCUAUAUUUGUGUUUAGGUAUGCAGUGCCUCAACGUACUACCAAGGGCGCCAUCAACGACACGAAUGUGUUUGUAUAUCGAAUCGAUCACUGGGGGCGCUAUUUGCUUUUACGUUUUGAAGAACGUGUCACAAAUCGGUUACUUGAUAAGAAGCAAAUGCUAUAGGAUUUUUACUCAUAAAAAUACGUUUCGUAAUUUCACUAUCUUUUCUCAAUUUGUCAAAUUUAACGAUGUAAUGUUAGUUGUAGUGAAUAUGUAUGUAGUUGU
Molecule: long non-coding RNA, 1461 nt
Organism: Saccoglossus kowalevskii
Lineage: Eukaryota; Metazoa; Hemichordata; Enteropneusta; Harrimaniidae
Source: RefSeq, a predicted model, not a curated record